CAGUCGCCGCGGUAAUACAGAGGGUGCAAGCGUUAAUCGGAUUUACUGGGCGUAAAGGGCGCGUAGGUGGUUAUUUAAGUGAGAUGUGGAAGCCCCGGGCUUAACCUGGGAACUGCAUCUUAUACUGGGUAACUGGAGUGCAGUAGAGGGUAGUGGAAUUUCCGGUGUAGCGGUGAAAUGCGUAGAUAUCGGAAGGAACACCAGUGGCGGAGGCGGCUACCUGGACUGAGACUGACACUGAGGCGCGAGAGCGUGGGGAGCAAACAGGAUUAGAUACCCGCGUAGUCCCUGUCUCUUAUAC
This 301-nucleotide ribosomal RNA is filed under the name uncultured bacterium. RNAcentral's name for it is "partial 16S ribosomal RNA". It matches the Rfam family "Bacterial small subunit ribosomal RNA", at positions 509 to 807 of the family's 1533-position model. The record is from RNAcentral.